UGCAGUCGGAGGGACUUUUCGUUGUAGCAAUACAGUGGAAAGUUCAGUGGCGAACGGGUGCGUAACACGUGGGCAAUCUUCCUUAAAGUGUGGGAUAGCUCGGCGAAAGCCGAAUUAAUACCGCAUGUGAUUAGAGGCGACAUCGCUUCGAAAUCAAAGGUGGCGCAAGCUACCGCUUUUUGAGGAGCCCGCGGCCUAUCAGCUUGUUGGUGAGGUAACGGCUCACCAAGGCGUUGACGGGUAGCUGGUCUGAGAGGACGACCAGCCACACUGGGACUGAGACACGGCCCAGACACCUACGGGUGGCAGCAGUCGAGAAUUUUUGACAAUGGGGGAAACCCUGAUCGAGCGACGCCGCGUGGAGGAUGAAGGUCUUCGGGUUGUAAACUCCUGUCAUUUGGGAACAAGGCGUAUGUAUUAACUGUGCAUGCGUUGAUAGUACCAGAAGAGGAAGAGACGGCUAACUCUGUGCCAGCAGCCGCGGUAAUACAGAGGUCUCAAGCGUUGUUCGGAUUCAUUGGGCGUAAAGGGUGUGUAGGUGGCGCGCUAAGUCGGGUGUGAAAUUUCGGAGCUUAACUCCGAAACUGCAUUCGAUACUGGCGUGCUUGAGGACUGGAGAGGAGACUGGAAUUUACGGUGUAGCAGUGAAAUGCGUAGAUAUCGUAAGGAAGACCAGUGGCGAAGGCGGGUCUCUGGACAGUUCCUGACACUGAGACACGAAGGCCAGGGGAGCAAACGGGAUUAGAUACCCCGGUAGUCCUGGCAGUAAACGGUGCACGUUUGGUGUGGGAGGAUCACCCCUUCUGCGCCGGAGCCAACGCGUUAAACGUGCGCCUGGGGAGUACGGUCGCAAGAUAAAACUCAAAGAAAUUGA
Molecule: ribosomal RNA, 874 nt
Filed under: uncultured Verrucomicrobiota bacterium
Lineage: Bacteria; Pseudomonadati; Verrucomicrobiota
Description: bacterial SSU rRNA
Rfam family: Bacterial small subunit ribosomal RNA
Source: RNAcentral